AUUUCAUUGGUUGAUAUUGGGUUGUUCAGAAUUUUUAGGUCUUCUUCGUUCAACUUUGGUAAUUCCUAUGUAUCUAGGAAUCUGUCCAUUUCUUCUGUGUUGUCCAUCUUAUUGGCGUAUAGGUUCUGGAAGUAGGUAUUGAUGAUCCUCUGGAUUUCUGCUGGGUCUGUUGUCAUUUCACCCUUUUCAUUCCUAAUUGCAUGGAUUUGGGCCUUUUCUUUCCUUUUUCUGACAAGGUUGACUAAAGGUUUAUCAGUUUUGUUGAUUCUUUCAAAGAACCAACUCUUGGCUUCAUUGAUUUUUUGUAUCGUUCUCUUAGUCUCCAUUGCAUUUAUUUCUCCUCUGAUCUUUAUAAUUUCUUCCCUUGUAUGAGCUUUGGGGUUGUCUUGCUCUUCUUUUUCUAGAAGCUUGAGGUUCAGCAUCAGGUUGUUUAAUUGAG
Molecule: long non-coding RNA, 439 nt
Filed under: Heterocephalus glaber (naked mole-rat)
Lineage: Eukaryota; Metazoa; Chordata; Mammalia; Rodentia; Bathyergidae
Description: lncRNA (ENSHGLG00100050333.1)
Source: RNAcentral